GAUGAACGCUGGCGGCGUGCCUAAUACAUGCAAGUAGAACGCUGAAGCUUGGUGCUUGCACCGAGCGGAUGAGUUGCGAACGGGUGAGUAACGCGUAGGUAACCUGCCUCUUAGCGGGGGAUAACUAUUGGAAACGAUAGCUAAUACCGCAUAAAAGUCGACAUCGCAUGAUGUUGACUUGAAAGGUGCAAAUGCAUCACUAAGAGAUGGACCUGCGUUGUAUUAGCUAGUUGGUGAGGUAACGGCUCACCAAGGCAACGAUACAUAGCCGACCUGAGAGGGUGAUCGGCCACACUGGGACUGAGACACGGCCCAGACUCCUACGGGAGGCAGCAGUAGGGAAUCUUCGGCAAUGGGGGCAACCCUGACCGAGCAACGCCGCGUGAGUGAAGAAGGUUUUCGGAUCGUAAAGCUCUGUUGUAAGAGAAGAACGAGUGUGAGAGUGGAAAGUUCACACUGUGACGGUAACUUACCAGAAAGGGACGGCUAACUACGUGCCAGCAGCCGCGGUAAUACGUAGGUCCCGAGCGUUAUCCGGAUUUAUUGGGCGUAAAGCGAGCGCAGGCGGUUAGAUAAGUCUGAAGUUAAAGGCUGUGGCUUAACCAUAGUACGCUUUGGAAACUGUUUAACUUGAGUGCAGAAGGGGAGAGUGGAAUUCCAUGUGUAGCGGUGAAAUGCGUAGAUAUAUGGAGGAACACCGGUGGCGAAAGCGGCUCUCUGGUCUGUAACUGACGCUGAGGCUCGAAAGCGUGGGGAGCAAACAGG
Molecule: ribosomal RNA, 765 nt
Filed under: uncultured Streptococcus sp.
Lineage: Bacteria; Bacillati; Bacillota; Bacilli; Lactobacillales; Streptococcaceae
Description: bacterial SSU rRNA
Rfam family: Bacterial small subunit ribosomal RNA
Source: RNAcentral